This 289-nucleotide non-coding RNA is filed under the name Geomicrobium sp. RNAcentral's name for it is "T-box sequence". It matches the Rfam family "T-box leader". Rfam says of the family: Uncharged tRNA acts as the effector for transcription antitermination of genes in the T-box leader family. Lineage: Bacteria; Bacillati; Bacillota; Bacilli; Caryophanales. The record is from RNAcentral.
UGUAAACUGAUGAAUGGAUAAGUAAACGAUCACGUAUGUUCAGAGAGCCGGGUUGCUGGGAGCCGGUCGUAAACGAGUCGUUGAAUAUGGUCCUGGAGGUUUAAUUUUCGAGUGCAGUAAUUGUGCAUAAGGGAAUUACGUGUGUCAGCGUUAAUGACAAGUUGCUAACGAUUAAUGUUAGUGCUGUUGAGCUUCUUAGAAGUAGGUGUAGGAACGAGUAUGUUCUGGCGAUGCUAUGGAUAAGAAGGAAGCAGGGUGGUACCACGUGAGUAAUCCUCUCGUCCCUUCG